This is a non-coding RNA of Vicugna pacos (alpaca), 583 nucleotides long. Lineage: Eukaryota; Metazoa; Chordata; Mammalia; Artiodactyla; Camelidae. The record is from the annotation of a RefSeq genome assembly.
CACAAAGCCAGGAAGCAGAUUUGCAUAAGGAUGUCCCUUCUGAGGAUAAGAGAGGGCCAAAGACUCCACCCCCAGCUGUGGGCUCAGAGGCAGAGCUCAGGGCACCUCCACCAUGGCCUGGACCCCCCUCCUGCUGCCCUUCCUCUCUCUCUGCACAGGUUAUGUGGCCUCUUCUGCACUGACUCAGCCCUCCAUGGUGUCCGUGUCCUUGGGACAGACGGCCAGGACCACCUGCCAAGGAGGCAGCUUAGGUAGCUAUGGUGCUAACUGGUACCAGCAGAAGCCAGGCCGGGCCCCUGUGCUGGUCAUCUAUGAGGACAGCAAGAGACCCUCAGGGAUCCCUGAGUGGUUUUCUGGCUCCAAGUCAGGGGGCCCAGCCACCCUGACCAUCAGCGGGGCCCAGGCCGAGGAUGAGGCCGACUAUUACUGUCAGUCAGCAGACAGCAGUGGUAAUGCUCACAGUGACACAGGCAGAUGGGGAAGUGGGGCACAAACCCCCUCCAUCUGUGUCACCCUCUCCUCCAGCCCCAGGAGGCCUGUGGACAAAGCAGUGACAGGUCUGGCCCGGUUCCUCCAGAUCUGA